AGUGAACGCUGGCGGUAGGCCUAACACAUGCAAGUCGAACGGCAGCACAGUAAGAGCUUGCUCUUACGGGUGGCGAGUGGCGGACGGGUGAGGAAUACAUCGGAAUCUACUUUUUCGUGGGGGAUAACGUAGGGAAACUUACGCUAAUACCGCAUACGACCUACGGGUGAAAGCAGGGGAUCUUCGGACCUUGCGCGAUUGAAUGAGCCGAUGUCGGAUUAGCUAGUUGGCGGGGUAAAGGCCCACCAAGGCGACGAUCCGUAGCUGGUCUGAGAGGAUGAUCAGCCACACUGGAACUGAGACACGGUCCAGACUCCUACGGGAGGCAGCAGUGGGGAAUAUUGGACAAUGGGCGCAAGCCUGAUCCAGCCAUACCGCGUGGGUGAAGAAGGCCUUCGGGUUGUAAAGCCCUUUUGUCGGGAAAGAAAAGCAGCAGGUUAAUACCCCGCUGUUCUGACGGUACCCAAAGAACAAGCACCGGCUAACUUCGUG
Molecule: ribosomal RNA, 492 nt
Filed under: uncultured bacterium
Lineage: Bacteria
Description: partial 16S ribosomal RNA
Rfam family: Bacterial small subunit ribosomal RNA
Source: RNAcentral